CUCCAGGAGACUUCUUCCAUGGGCCUGUGAGCUACAGGCAUGGAGGUGAUACAGGGAAAAGAUGUAACUCCCAACCAGCUAGAUGUCAGAUACACUAAGUUUGUGUCCCCUGAAAUCUAAGAAUGAACUCCAAAGGAUAAAGGCUGUUGAGAGGAUCUGCAGGGGAAGAGAACAAGAAGUCACCAAGAAGCAGAGUCUCACCAUGCAGUUCAGGCUGGCCUUGAGCUCACUUUGUAACCCAUGCUGGUCUCAAACUUGCAACGAUCCUCCUGCCUCAACCCCCGAGUCCUGGGAUUACAGGCUCAGGAGCACCCAUAAGUCAAUGUUUAAGGCUGCAGUGUUCGGGGCCCACAUGCCACAUGAGAGCCGGCACUAUCCCUCAGAACCUCUGGACCAUGGAGCCCGUCUAUCUCUGCUUGAACCCAAAGAGACGCAGGCGGUGACCUGACACAGGAGA
Long non-coding RNA from Cavia porcellus (domestic guinea pig), 457 nucleotides. RefSeq lists it as uncharacterized. The transcript has 3 exons. NCBI's taxonomy places the organism in Eukaryota, Metazoa, Chordata, Mammalia, Rodentia, Caviidae. The record is from RefSeq and is a predicted model, not a curated record.